This 711-nucleotide ribosomal RNA is filed under the name Metabacillus idriensis. RNAcentral's name for it is "bacterial SSU rRNA". It matches the Rfam family "Bacterial small subunit ribosomal RNA", at positions 23 to 729 of the family's 1533-position model. The record is from RNAcentral. Lineage: Bacteria; Bacillati; Bacillota; Bacilli; Caryophanales; Bacillaceae.
CUCAGGACGAACGCUGGCGGCGUGCCUAAUACAUGCAAGUCGAGCGGACCUCUUCGGAGGUUAGCGGCGGACGGGUGAGUAACACGUGGGCAACCUGCCUGUAAGACUGGGAUAACUCCGGGAAACCGGAGCUAAUACCGGAUAGUAUCUUGAACCGCAUGGUUCAAGCUGGAAAGACGGUUUCGGCUGUCACUUACAGAUGGGCCCGCGGCGCAUUAGCUAGUUGGUGAGGUAAUGGCUCACCAAGGCAACGAUGCGUAGCCGACCUGAGAGGGUGAUCGGCCACACUGGGACUGAGACACGGCCCAGACUCCUACGGGAGGCAGCAGUAGGGAAUCUUCCGCAAUGGACGAAAGUCUGACGGAGCAACGCCGCGUGAGUGAUGAAGGUUUUCGGAUCGUAAAACUCUGUUGUUAGGGAAGAACAAGUGCGAGAGUAACUGCUCGCACCUUGACGGUACCUAACCAGAAAGCCACGGCUAACUACGUGCCAGCAGCCGCGGUAAUACGUAGGUGGCAAGCGUUGUCCGGAAUUAUUGGGCGUAAAGCGCGCGCAGGCGGUUUCUUAAGUCUGAUGUGAAAGCCCCCGGCUCAACCGGGGAGGGUCAUUGGAAACUGGGAAACUUGAGUGCAGAAGAGGAGAGUGGAAUUCCACGUGUAGCGGUGAAAUGCGUAGAGAUGUGGAGGAACACCAGUGGCGAAGGCGACUCUC